Molecule: transfer RNA, 77 nt
Filed under: Zymomonas mobilis
Lineage: Bacteria; Pseudomonadati; Pseudomonadota; Alphaproteobacteria; Sphingomonadales; Zymomonadaceae
Also listed under: 256 other names
Description: tRNA-Pro
Rfam family: tRNA
About the family: Transfer RNA (tRNA) molecules are approximately 80 nucleotides in length. Their secondary structure includes four short double-helical elements and three loops (D, anti-codon, and T loops). Further hydrogen bonds mediate the characteristic L-shaped molecular structure. tRNAs have two regions of fundamental functional importance: the anti-codon, which is responsible for specific mRNA codon recognition, and the 3' end, to which the tRNAs corresponding amino acid is attached (by aminoacyl-tRNA synthetases). tRNAs cope with the degeneracy of the genetic code in two manners: having more than one tRNA (with a specific anti-codon) for a particular amino acid; and 'wobble' base-pairing, i.e. permitting non-standard base-pairing at the 3rd anti-codon position.
Source: RNAcentral
CGGGGAGUAGCGCAGCCUGGUAGCGCAUCUGCUUUGGGAGCAGAGGGUCGCAGGUUCGAAUCCUGUCUCCCCGACCA